Molecule: microRNA precursor, 65 nt
Filed under: Drosophila simulans
Lineage: Eukaryota; Metazoa; Arthropoda; Insecta; Diptera; Drosophilidae
Description: microRNA dsi-mir-2578 precursor
Source: miRBase by way of RNAcentral
AGCGGUAAGACAUUAACAUUGUUGAAAUUUAUAUUAGUUAUAUUCAAUAAAUUUAAUAUCUUUGC